Molecule: unclassified non-coding RNA, 253 nt
Filed under: Glomeraceae sp.
Lineage: Eukaryota; Fungi; Glomeromycota; Glomeromycetes; Glomerales; Glomeraceae
Description: partial contains 5.8S ribosomal RNA and internal transcribed spacer 2
Rfam family: 5.8S ribosomal RNA (bases 1-71)
Source: RNAcentral
GUGAAUCAUCGAAUUUUUGAACGCAAAUUGCACUCCCUGGUAUUCCGGGGAGUAUGCCUGUUUGAGGGUCGUUAGAAUAAAAAAUCGAUGCGUCGCUCUUGUUGUUAGUGUUGAUCGCGUCGGAAUUGAGGCGUCUUUCAAAUGGUAAUUCAGGGCAAAGUGGCUUGAAAUUCGUCCAUCCGGUACGAUUGAAUCGUAUUGAAGAUCAAUUUUGAUUGAUAACUCGCGAUUACGUACCAUCUCAGGUAGGACU